GGUAGGAUGGCCGAAGCUAGGCGGCGGGUUGUAGCCCCGUAGAUAGAGGUUCAAGUCCUUUUCCUAUCA
Molecule: transfer RNA, 69 nt
Filed under: Pseudaspius leptocephalus (redfin)
Lineage: Eukaryota; Metazoa; Chordata; Actinopteri; Cypriniformes; Leuciscidae
Also listed under: 1 other name
Description: tRNA-Tyr
Rfam family: tRNA
About the family: Transfer RNA (tRNA) molecules are approximately 80 nucleotides in length. Their secondary structure includes four short double-helical elements and three loops (D, anti-codon, and T loops).
Source: RNAcentral